Molecule: ribosomal RNA, 377 nt
Filed under: uncultured eukaryote
Lineage: Eukaryota
Description: partial 18S ribosomal RNA
Rfam family: Eukaryotic small subunit ribosomal RNA
Source: RNAcentral
CAAUAGCGUAUAUUUAAGUUGCUGCAGUUAAAAAGCUCGUAGUUGGAUUUCGGGUGGGAAUGGCCGGUCCGCCGUUUCGGUGUGCACUUGCUACGCCCACCUUGCUGCCGGGGACGUGCUCUUGAGUUCACGCUCGGGACACGGAGUCGGCGAGGUUACUUUGAGUAAGUUAGAGUGUUCAAGGCAGGCCUACGCUCUGAAUACAUUAGCAUGGAAUAACACGAUAGGACUCUGGCCUAUCUUGUUGGUCUGUAGGACCGGAGUAAUGAUUAAGAGGGACAGUCGGGGGCAUUCGUAUUUCAUUGUCAGAGGUGAAAUUCUUGGAUUUAUGAAAGACGAACUACUGCGAAAGCAUUUGCCAAGGAUGUUUUCAUUAA